This 446-nucleotide ribosomal RNA is filed under the name uncultured bacterium. RNAcentral's name for it is "bacterial SSU rRNA". It matches the Rfam family "Bacterial small subunit ribosomal RNA", at positions 329 to 792 of the family's 1533-position model. The record is from RNAcentral.
CACCAGACUCCUACGGGAGGCAGCAGUGGGGAAUAUUGCACAAUGGGGGAAACCCUGAUGCAGCGACGCCGCGUGAGCGAUGAAGUAUUUCGGUAUGUAAAGCUCUAUCAGCAGGGAAGAAAAUGACGGUACCUGACUAAGAAGCCCCGGCUAACUACGUGCCAGCAGCCGCGGUAAUACGUAGGGGGCAAGCGUUAUCCGGAUUUACUGGGUGUAAAGGGAGCGUAGACGGCUGUGCAAGCCAGAUGUGAAAGCCCGGGGCUCAACCCCGGGACUGCAUUUGGAACUGUGUGGCUGGAGUGUCGGAGAGGCAGGCGGAAUUCCUAGUGUAGCGGUGAAAUGCGUAGAUAUUAGGAGGAACACCAGUGGCGAAGGCGGCCUGCCGGACGAUGACUGACGUUGAGGCUCGAAAGCGUGGGGAGCAAACAGGAUUAGAUACCCUUGUA